ACACGGCCCAAACUCCUACGGGAGGCAGCAGUAGGGAAUCUUCCACAAUGGACGCAAGUCUGAUGGAGCAACGCCGCGUGAGUGAAGAAGGGUUUCGGCUCGUAAAGCUCUGUUGGUAGUGAAGAAAGAUAGAGGUAGUAACUGGCCUUUAUUUGACGGUAAUUACUUAGAAAGUCACGGCUCACUACGUGCCAGCAGCCGCGGUAAU
This 208-nucleotide ribosomal RNA is filed under the name uncultured bacterium. RNAcentral's name for it is "partial 16S ribosomal RNA". It matches the Rfam family "Bacterial small subunit ribosomal RNA", at positions 324 to 524 of the family's 1533-position model. The record is from RNAcentral.